Molecule: long non-coding RNA, 923 nt
Organism: Hyla sarda
Lineage: Eukaryota; Metazoa; Chordata; Amphibia; Anura; Hylidae
Exons: 3
Source: RefSeq, a predicted model, not a curated record
CGCACGCCGUUGAUAACAGAAGAGGAAGCACAAAUAUAAUUAUAGAAACUGCUGCAGUGUGACAAUCAUCUGUAGAUACAUACUGACUAGAAAAAGAAGAAUUUACUCUGAAAUCAAACUAAAUAAUUGUACAGAAAUAUGCCCGAAAUAUGCUCCUCACUGUCAGUUCAGUACGGCUCGGACUACACUUCCCAGAGACUCUGUGCGGUCGGACGUUUCUCUAUGCCAUCAGGUGUUGGAGUUGGUCAUUAUGGAAACGGUAUAGCGGUAUGUAUUCUGAUGGACAUUAGGAUUAGAAAGGAAUUUGGUUCCCCCAAAAAGAGAACAAUUACUUGCCACUAAGGAGGCUGUUUUUGCAUUCCUCCAAACUAGUAUUGUAGGAUGUCCAAUAACAGAGAAGACAUGAGAGAUGGCACUCACCACCCAGAGAUAUGCUUUAUUCACGAUGCAGGAGCAUGGCUGUUACAGGCAAGUCUGGCAGAACGAGAACAGGGGGCAACCUGGUUCGGUCGACGAACGAUGAAUACCUGUGACUCAAUAUCGUUUAAAAAAAAUUUUUUUUAUUCUUUAUUAAUAGUUUCCAAUAUACGUAACAUAACAUUAUAACACAGUGGUAUAUCCAAUUGCACAGAUAAAAAAUGCAAAAGCAGCUGAGUUUCCCUUCAUGUCUCGAAAACAAAAAAACUACGUAUUUUAGGGCUUAUUUGAUGGACUGAACUCCAGCAAUUUACACCAUAUUCUAUUAAAGUCUUUCUGUUGCGAAUGCUAUAGACCGCUCCAUAUAACAAUUAGCAUGUACUGAACUAAUUAUAGUCUUAAGGGCCGGAAUGUCUGCACUUUUCCAGUUUGUCGCUAUUUUAUUCCUUGUAACUCUCAAAAAAUGAACCAUUACUGUCACGUCUGGUGAUGUUAAAUCUUCCAAA